UCCAGACUCCUACGGGAGGCAGCAGUGAGGAAUAUUGGUCAAUGGGCGCGAGCCUGAACCAGCCAAGUCGCGUGAGGGAAGACGGUCCUAUGGAUUGUAAACCUCUUUUGUCGGGGAGCAAAAGACGCCACGUGUGGCGUUCCGAGAGUACCCGGAGAAAAAGCAUCGGCUAACUCCGUGCCAGCAGCCGCGGUAAUACGGAGGAUGCGAGCGUUAUCCGGAUUUAUUGGGUUUAAAGGGUGCGUAGGCGGCCUUUUAAGUCAGCGGUGAAAGUCUGUGGCUCAACCAUAGAUUUGCCGUUGAAACUGGGGGGCUUGAGUAUUUUUGAGGCAGGCGGAAUGCGUGGUGUAGCGGUAAA
This 358-nucleotide ribosomal RNA is filed under the name uncultured bacterium. RNAcentral's name for it is "bacterial SSU rRNA". It matches the Rfam family "Bacterial small subunit ribosomal RNA", at positions 330 to 685 of the family's 1533-position model. The record is from RNAcentral.